CCGUGCCAUCGUAUUACUAAAUAGGUGACAAAUUUGACUCUUGAUAGGCCUUCCGCGCACUUUGCCAAACCCCAACUACUACUCUUCUCCAUGUCACACUCCUACCUUCCAACUUGACUCCAUACACUGCUAUGCCCACACCUAAGAAGACCACUCCUAAAGCUACUAAUGUAUUCGGCUUCACCUUCUUCAAGACCUUCCGUAGAGCUGGCCGCGCCGGGCUGUACGACCUCCAUAUCCACAUACUUCAAAGCUUUUUCGGGGGUCCAUUCUUUCUCUGACCAUUCUUGAUCAUAAGUGACCAUUACGCUUCCUGGACCCAUAAUUUCUCUCCCCCGUAUCAGAGGUCCAUCCCAAGGAUAUUCUUCCAAUAAUCUGUCUGCGAGCUGGAGGACGUCUGAGAGCCGUAUAGGGGAGUAUGGGUUUACAUUGGAGUCAUGCAACUCAAGCUUGCUUGGAGAGGUGGAGGGAGAGGUUUGUGGAUUGGGUGAGGACGGCGUGUCUGGGUAUAGUGGCGGGAGACGGACAAAUAAGGGAUGCAGGAGUGAAGGGUCUUCUUGAUAUUCGCGUCCGAGUUUCUUGGCCAAUUCGAACAUCUGUGGUUUCUUGCUUAUCAAAAUCUGUUAUAAAUCAGUUCAUGAAGCACAUGGUAG
RNAcentral lists this small RNA (653 nucleotides) under Cryptococcus neoformans H99. RNAcentral's name for it is "Cryptococcus neoformans var. grubii H99 hypothetical RNA". Lineage: Eukaryota; Fungi; Basidiomycota; Tremellomycetes; Tremellales; Cryptococcaceae. The record is from RNAcentral.